GUUACAGUGCUCCACUUCACAGAUGUAUGGAACUUGGGAACAGAAGGAGGAACAGAAAAGCAGAUUAUCGGACAAAUGUACAUUUAAGCACCUGGCUCAGAUAAACCUAGGAGCAGAUGGAGCAAGGAUCUACGUGGUAUUCUACAUCAGGCUCCACAAAAUUUGUGACCGAAGUUGGUCUUAUGCCAGCCUACAAUUAUGCAGGAGCAAGAAGACAAAGGCUUACAUAUAUCCAUCCAGCAUAUUUCCAUCACCCUUCGCAGCCCUGCAACUCUGUUCACAGAUGUUAAACACCACAGCUCUUAUCACAAGUGUUAAAACAUAUGGUAUAUUGGGAGAAAGAAUGAACAAUUUGAAAGAAAUCCCAGCUGUUGCAUAG
RNAcentral lists this long non-coding RNA (379 nucleotides) under Anas platyrhynchos platyrhynchos (common mallard). RNAcentral describes it as "lncRNA (ENSAPLG00000020693.1)". The record is from RNAcentral. Lineage: Eukaryota; Metazoa; Chordata; Aves; Anseriformes; Anatidae.